MicroRNA precursor from Aotus nancymaae (Ma's night monkey), 85 nucleotides. The record is from Ensembl. Lineage: Eukaryota; Metazoa; Chordata; Mammalia; Primates; Aotidae.
AUUAACUCUGGCUUUUAACUUUGAUGGCAAAGGGGUAGCUAAACAAUCUACAUCUUUGCCAUCAAAGUUAAAAGCCAGAGUUAAU